This 460-nucleotide ribosomal RNA is filed under the name uncultured bacterium. RNAcentral describes it as "partial 16S ribosomal RNA". It matches the Rfam family "Bacterial small subunit ribosomal RNA", at positions 338 to 795 of the family's 1533-position model. The record is from RNAcentral.
CCUACGGGAGGCAGCAGUGAGGAAUAUUUGUCAAUGGGCUUACGCCUGAACCAGCCAAGUCGCGUGAGGGAUGACUGCCCUAUGGGUUGUAAACCUCUUUUGUCAGGGAGCAACGCCGGCUACGUGUAGCCGUACUGAGAGUACCUGAAGAAAAAGCAUCGGCUAACUCCGUGCCAGCAGCCGCGGUAAUACGGAGGAUGCGAGCGUUAUCCGGAUUUAGUGGGUUUAAAGGGUGCGUAGGCGGAAUGCCAAGUCAGCGGUAAAAUCGCGGGGCUCAACCUCGCUCUGCCGUUGAAACUGGCGUUCUUGAGUGGGCGAGAAGUAUGCGGAAGGCGUGGUGUAGCGGUGAAAUGCAUAGAUAUCACGCAGAACUCCGAUUGCGAAGGCAGCAUACCGGCGCCCAACUGACGCUGAAGCACGAAAGCGUGGGUAUCGAACAGGAUUAGAUACCCCAGUAGUC